CCUACGGGGGGCUGCAGUGGGGAAUAUUGGACAAUGGGGGCAACCCUGAUCCAGCCAUGCCGCGUGUGUGAAGAAGGCCCUCGGGUUGUAAAGCACUUUCAGUGAGGAAGAACGCCUGGUGGUUAAUACCCAUCAGGAAAGACAUCACUCACAGAAGAAGCACCGGCUAACUCCGUGCCAGCAGCCGCGGUAAUACGGAGGGUGCGAGCGUUAAUCGGAAUUACUGGGCGUAAAGCGUGCGUAGGUGGCUUGAUAAGCCGGUUGUGAAAGCCCCGGGCUCAACCUGGGAACGGCAUCCGGAACUGUCAAGCUAGAGUGCAGGAGAGGAAGGUAGAAUUCCCGGUGUAGCGGUGAAAUGCGUAGAGAUCGGGAGGAAUACCAGUGGCGAAGGCGGCCUUCUGGACUGACACUGACACUGAGGUGCGAAAGCGUGGGUAGCAAACAGGAUUAGAUACCCCUGUAGUC
Molecule: ribosomal RNA, 465 nt
Filed under: Vreelandella stevensii
Lineage: Bacteria; Pseudomonadati; Pseudomonadota; Gammaproteobacteria; Oceanospirillales; Halomonadaceae
Description: partial 16S ribosomal RNA
Rfam family: Bacterial small subunit ribosomal RNA
Source: RNAcentral